GAUGCCUGGUUUCUCAUGUUUUCUUUGUAUUUGGCCUGUUGUAAUACGUCACCUUGCUUGAAGGAUGGAGAAAAAUCUGUUCUCAAAUGCGUAUGACUGAGAAAGAAAGGUUUUUGUGGCCUCCUUAAUUGUGUUCCGGAGACUCCCCAAGAGUCCUGUCUGCUUCUCCCACAGGUGGAAGAUCACACAUCAGACGACACCAAGGAGACCUUGAAGCACUAAGUUCCUCAGUUGAAACGCUGUGAAGACAACGAGGAUCAGGAGGACACGCUGAUGGCGGCCACCCUCUAGGGGAGAACGGGCUCCGGAACCUCACAGAGAUGAUGAUGCUACCUACGUACCAGUAUACAGAACUGACUAUCAAAAUGCCUAGGGGCUUUUGGUCCCUCCUUGAAUGUCCUCUACCUCCAGCAUCAACUUUAUACCCAGAGGUGCCUGUCUCCAGAUGAAAUACAUUCUGUCUGUAUGGAAACAUUUAAGCAAAGGAAACACUGCCG
This 497-nucleotide long non-coding RNA is filed under the name Mus musculus (house mouse). RNAcentral describes it as "predicted gene, 36539". Lineage: Eukaryota; Metazoa; Chordata; Mammalia; Rodentia; Muridae. The record is from RNAcentral.